GCAAGAUACCACGGGCGCACGGCGGAUGCCUUGGCACAGGGAGCCGAUGAAGGACGCGGCAAGCUGCGAUAAUCCCCGGCGAGGAGCACACAUCCUUCGACCCGGGGGUCUCCGAAUGGGCGAACCCAUCCGUAGCAGUACGGAUAUCCCGGCCCUGAACGCAUAGGGGCCGGGAGGACAACCCGGGGAACUGAAACAUCUAAGUACCCGGAGGAGAGGAAAUCAAUCUCGAGACUCCCCGAGUAGCGGCGAGCGAAAGGGGACCGAUGGCCAAACCGUCGAGCGGGCAUACCCGGCAGGGGUUCCGCCGACGGGGUUGCAGGGCCGCGCAUCCGGGGGCUGCCGCCCCCGGGCGCAGGUCCGGCUGGGGAGCGGAACGGCAUGGGAGGGCCGGCCGCAGCGGGUGACAGCCCCGUACGCGAACCCAGACCGGACGGCGCGACGCGGUCCCUGAGUAGGGCCGGGCACGUGAAACCCGGUCCGAACCUGGGUGGACCACCAUCCAAGCCUGAGUACUACCCUGUGACCGAUAGCGCACCAGUACCGUGAGGGAAAGGUGAAAAGCACCCCGGGAGGGGAGUGAAACAGUACCUGAAACCGUGCGCCCACGAGCAGUCGGAGCAACUUUAUGUUGUGACGGCGUGCCUUUUGUAGAAUGAGCCAGCGAGUCGCUGGCGCGGGGCGAGGUUAACCGAAAGGGAGCCGGAGCGAAAGCGAGCCUUAACAGGGCGACUUGAGUCCCGCGCCGCGGACGCGAAGCCGGGUGAGCUAUCCGUGGGCAGGCUGAAGCGGGGGUAAGACCCCGUGGAGGGCCGAACGCACGUCGGUUGAAAACGGCGGCGAUGACCUGCGGAUAGGGGUGAAAGGCCAAUCAAACCCGGAGAUAUCUCGUUCUCCCCGAAAUAGCUUUAGGGCUAGCGUCGCGCGUUCACCGCCGGAGGUAGAGCACCGGAUGGACGAGGGGGCUUCGCCGCCUACCGAAUCCAACCGAACUCCGAAUGCCGGCGGCCCAGAGCGCGGCAGUCAGAGCAUGUGGGCUAAGCUGUGUGCUCGAGAGGGAAACAGCCCGGACCGCCCGCUAAGGUCCCCAAGUUCCAGCCGAGUGGCAAAGGAUGUGCGUCCGCCCAGACAACCAGGAUGUUGGCUUAGAAGCAGCCAUCCAUUCAAAGAGUGCGUAACAGCUCACUGGUCGAGUGGACAUGCGCCGACAAUACACGGGGCUAAGCUGGACACCGAAGCGGCGGGAUUUUAUCUAUAUAGAAUCGGUAGGGGAGCUUCCCAUGGGCGGCGAAGCCGCCGGGCGACCGGCGGUGGAGCGCAUGGGAGUGAG
This 1330-nucleotide ribosomal RNA is filed under the name Collinsella sp. AM18-10. Its description in RNAcentral is "partial 23S ribosomal RNA". It matches the Rfam family "Bacterial large subunit ribosomal RNA", at positions 1 to 1292 of the family's 2925-position model. Lineage: Bacteria; Bacillati; Actinomycetota; Coriobacteriia; Coriobacteriales; Coriobacteriaceae. The record is from RNAcentral.